Molecule: small RNA, 78 nt
Filed under: Flavobacterium sp. 1
Lineage: Bacteria; Pseudomonadati; Bacteroidota; Flavobacteriia; Flavobacteriales; Flavobacteriaceae
Description: Flavo-1 RNA
Rfam family: Flavo-1 RNA
Source: RNAcentral
CCUUAGCCCCGGUUGAAGUGGAAACCCUUUUGUGCCGGGGUUCGGCACAAAAGGUUGUAGCGGAAAACGGGACGAUAU